Molecule: ribosomal RNA, 220 nt
Filed under: uncultured bacterium
Lineage: Bacteria
Description: partial 16S ribosomal RNA
Rfam family: Bacterial small subunit ribosomal RNA
Source: RNAcentral
CACGGUAGGGCGCAAGCGUUGUCCGGAAUUAUUGGGCGUAAAGAGCUCGUAGGCGGUCUGUUACGUCUGCUGUGAAAACCCGGGGCUUAACCCUGGGCUUGCAGUGGAUACGGGCAGACUAGAGGCAGGUAGGGGAGAAUGGAAUUCCCGGUGUAGCGGUGAAAUGCGCAGAUAUCGGGAGGAACACCGGUGGCGAAGGCGGUUCUCUGGGCCUUACCUG